AUUUAUAUAGUAUACAAACAAUAUAUUUGACUUCCAAUCAAAGGACCUAAUUAUUUUUAGUAUAAAUA
Molecule: transfer RNA, 68 nt
Filed under: Oxypoda acuminata
Lineage: Eukaryota; Metazoa; Arthropoda; Insecta; Coleoptera; Staphylinidae
Description: tRNA-Gly
Source: RNAcentral